This 28-nucleotide non-coding RNA is filed under the name Homo sapiens (human). Lineage: Eukaryota; Metazoa; Chordata; Mammalia; Primates; Hominidae. The record is from RNAcentral.
UCCCUACACUUUGGUCAACAUCUGCCUG